GUAGCUGAGGCGAAAGCUAGCUGAGGACAGCCACCCCCCACUGGCUUUGUCAUCCUCAGAGUGACAAAAUGCCACCUCCAGGCCCCAAUAACCUGGGAGGCACUCCAGGGGAGUCCAAGAGGCUCCGGUAGUGUCCAGCUGGAGGGACGAAACAAUUGUCUGGUUUAUCUCGAGCUCUUGUAUUUCAGGUAUCAUCUUUGACGAAUACCUGUGCCUUUUCUAGAGGAGAUACGUAGCAUUGGAACAGUGUUAUUGGUGUCACAAAUCCAACAUCGAAUUGAAGUUCAAUCUGAAAAACUUGAAGCCAUAGUUCUUCAAUCUGUGUGGCCAAUUACCCCACAUCAGGUUAUCAAACCCAGAGUAAUACUAGCUGAAGGAGCUGGAGCAACGGCGUUAUGUAUUACUGUAAGGAGACGACACUCCUGUUUUCCUCCCUUAUCACAGGUUGGCUCAUCAUGCUUUGUAGUCUUGUAGGAGAAGCACAUGCCCUGGAUGCAUUUCCACAAGAUCACCGUGUAAAUACUUGGAUUUGGUUGGCCUCUACUGUAACUAAUUCAUCUGCCUUUUCUAUUGUAUUGAUUAACAGCUGCAGAUCUUUUGACAACGUGUUUUAUUGGCAUGCCAACUCCAGUAGCUGUAUUACAGAAUUAUACUAUGUUAAGUGCUUUUGAUAUUAGUGUUCGUCAUUGCUAUUUUUUCUGAGUAGGUAGUGUACGCCCAGAAACAUUACGAAGUCAACUGGCAGCGGACUGUCUCCUCCUUCUACACCAUAAACGCUGCUCCGAUCUUGAAGGCAUAUGUUGCUUCAAGGUAACUGAUGAAUCAGCCAGCCUAGAGGAUGACAUUCAACAUCUCCAGGAUUUAACGCAUCAAAUGAAACAAUCUACUGGUGGUGCCUGGCUGGCUGAGCGGUUUAAUUCCCUGACAGGAUGGGUAGGACACCUGAUUCAAAGCAUUAUUGUAGGGAUAGGUUUAUUCCUUUUUCUGUAUGUGUUCAUUACACACCUCUCCAUUACCCUGCCCUACACCCUGCAAGCCCAAAUGGACAGCUCCAGCUUUGCCAGCCCCAGCGGAAGCAGUCCCUUGAGCAAGGGGGUGGAACGUGGGAUAAUAAUGGACAAUUGGCGAGGAGGAUUAUAAACACACUCAAGUGACUUGCAGCUGGCAUGCAGAAGUAUACAUAUAUCAUACUAAUUGUUGUUUAUCCUUAUGUGCUUGACAAGUAGAACAUUGGUGUUUAGGUAACACAGGCCUGUGACAGACUUAAGAGGCGCCCUAUCGAACACGCUCGAGAUUCCUCUCCUGCUGUGGGAAGGAUCAAAGCACAGUGGUACAUUGCACCUGCACGAAUCCCUGAUAAGCGGGCGAAAACAGCGGGGUCGGCAAUCCCCUGGCACAGGCUGAGCUCAGCAGUGCCUGCAUCCCCGCUCGUGUACCUGUGCCCAGGUGCUGCUUCGGGGAUCCCCCAGUUGGCAAGGUAAUGAAAAUAAAUUUACUCUUUGCAUUUCAUCCGUGGCUUUGUGGUUGUCCUGCGUCCAGCUAUUGCGGGCAACUACUACUUUAGGAGAAUUUCUAUAAAGUAAGAAAUUGCUGGUUUUAUUUUGUCAUGAUGGACAAAAAAAUAACUGAUUCUAAAUCACGUCCACUGCAGCUUAUGCUUCCAUAACACACCACUCAACUGAUUUCUAUGUUUCAGUGUCUUUGGAGAGGAAUCACAGGUGCCUGCUGUUACUGUAGGGACAAGCAGUAUGGGCUCACAGGAACAGAACAUGCUUUGCCUUCCCAUCACCAGAAAAAGAAAGAAGAGUUGAAGAAGGGCGCUCAGGAUCAAGAGGCUGCAAGGAAGUUGCUGUACUUGAUCCUUUUGCCUUGCUUUAUCUGACAGAAAAGCUGUCUUCUGCUAGCUGGGUCAUGGCUUGAAAUACAGUGAGAACUUCUUGCUUUAGCCUAUUAAAGGGGAAAGAGACUCCCUCCCCUCUCCCAGGGAGUGUGCUACUUUUGACUCACUUGUUCUGACUAUAUGAUCUGCAAUUAUAAUAUUUAGAUUGCAUGGUGUCAGUCUAUACCAUUGACUCCCUGAAUGGUUUUUCAUUUCUGUCCCCCCUUCCUUCUCCAGCUUUUUUCAAUACAUCAAUUAAAAAAAAAAAAAAAAAAUUUUUAACCUUACGUGAACAUCAUCUGUUGUCUUUGGCCCCAAAUGCUUUACUUCCUAGAAAUAAGUUGAGUCUUUUCAUCAGAAUACUUAAAAGAUUUCUAGCCACUGUAGUACUAUUGUAUUGUUUGGGUUUUUUUAAUAAGUUUCUAUACAGGUUCCAGUGUGUGCACUAAAUUUCUACUGCAGUAGAAAACAGUCUUAAGCUGAAGAGAGGUUUCAUGCUUGGGAGAGAAAAAGAGCAGAUCUUGACUCAAAAGCAACUUUUCAAAAGGAAAGAAAUGUAGUGCUUAAUCAUACUGCGCUGUCCUGUAGAAGUUGUGGACACUGUGGUGUUCUCCAGAAUGCUACUUAGGCUGCCACUACAAGUAGGUCAUUUAAAAUAAUAACCUUAGACUUUAAAAAUACAUAAAACUUAAUGAUGCUUAAAGUUUAGAGCAGGGUAGUCAUCAGGUUAAAAUAACUUCAUGCUUGUGACAUGCACAGUGAUGGUUCCUUUCAGGUUUUUUGGUUGGUUUUUUUCGUCUUUAAGAUGGCACUGGUUGCAGUGAUCUUCAGUUUUAUGACACAGCUAACUGUCUUAGUAUGGAUAUGGUUCCUUUCUGCCUACUAUUUCAGUUGACUUGCAGACAUAGUUAAGAUAGCUCUUUGGAGUUGUGGAGUGUGUGUAUAUAGAUAUGUGUGUGUGUGCGUGUGUGUGAAUGUGUAUGAAAAUAAUAAGACCUAAAGUGCCCUCCCCACAUCAUUAGUUUCUGCUGACCUGUAUUUCAGUGUUACCAAGAUUUUAAAGUGACCCAAGUAUUGCUGUUGCAAAUGUUUCCAUGUUUGUCUAACUGUUGUGAUGACUUAAAUAAAAAAAGAAAUCAAAACGGUAAAUGUUUCAUUACUUGCCCUAUAACUAUAUAGUCUUUCCCUGUCCAAUAUAUAUUUCUUUUUUCAGGAUUCACUGUAUUUUUUUUUUACCAUAUGAAAUGGAAAGAGAUUUCUGGCUUACUGUUGGCUUUUAACAGAUGUUUUAUCCUUGGGAAAUUGCCCAGCAAUUAAUUCAUAGAGUUUGGAAUUUAACUGAAGGACAUUUUGCAUGGCCAUGUUCAAAUAUUGAUGCUAACGAGCUACCAUACAGUUCAUGUUCAUAGCUUUAUGGAUACUUAAAGAUGGGCAAUAGUCUUAUUUUUUAAUAAUGUUUAACCUUUUUCUCUUUGGCAAGAACAAGCAAGUCUGCCUGGUUUUGUAGUACUUGCAGCUUUUCCUUAACAUCAGACUUUAAAAAGGGGAGAACCAGUAUCAAGUAUGCAGUUAGGAUGGUGAUUUUUAAAAUACUAAGCAGCAUAACAGUCUCAGGAAGAACAUGUGUGACUGGGCGUGAGAGUCUGUGGUGCAGCAUUACUAACAUUUGCUAAAAAAUGUUUUGAAGAGUGAAGCAUUUGCUUUAUAAGCGAUACUUGAGGACUAAUUCUGAUGCUGCUAAAGUUUAUCGAAAAAUAGGCACUGAUUUCAGUGAUUAUGCAGGUGUAAUUUCUGCUCAUGCUUUAAAUCUGAAAAGAAGAGAAACGUACAUUUGAAGGCCGAUUUUGUAUGAAGGGUAAUCAAACCAGUAACCUACUUUAAGAUGACUUUAAAAUAUUUGGAGCAACGGUUAAAGGCACAUAGGUAAAGUUUAUCAUAUACUCCUACGUCAGCUGUGACUAUUGAAUACAGUCAGCAGUCCACCUCAGAACUUUUUGGUGUGCAAAUGAAACAUGUUAAGUUGUAAGACUUCACAGCCGUGAGCUGAUGGGCCACAGUUCUCUCAGAGCAUAAAGUGCUUAUUGCCCUUUCCAGGUUAAGCAGCUGUUUUUCAAUUUAUACUUUGAAGUCCGACUUUUGUACAUCAUUGAGCACCUUCUUGGACUUCCUGUAGACUCUCACCAGUUAUACUACACCCUUCUUGAAAAGCAGUACAUCAUCUGGAGGGUUCAACAGCUAAUCCGUGCAAAUGUAGUGCUGCAAAAAUAACGUUUGGAUGUACUAACUCAAGUGUGAUGUGUGACGAGGAAUCGCUGGGCCUUUUGAUUAGCGAGAAACAGUACAUAAAAACUAGGUGACAGAAAUUGGACAUGAAGCUGGCAUACUGGUCUUCAAGCUUGCAGCGCAGCUCCGUGGGCUUUGGAUGACUAAAGAAAAGCAUGAGGCACAGGAGAGAACUGCUGCUGGAUCUUAGUGAAAGAUGGUAAAUCAUUUGGAGAGAGGUUUUCAAAGUCAGGAAUUAAAGUCAGGUGCCCAAUUCCAGAUUGACUGUGAAAUCACUGUGUACUUCCCUCGCUUGUCUAACUUUGUGUUGUAUAUUGUCUAGCAGCUUUUAUUUCAAAGUUAACAAAGUUACGCUUGUGUGAUAGGUGAUGUAAUGAACUCAUAAUAAUAGGCAAAAUCCAAGUCACAGAAAAUGUCAGCAUUUGAAAGAGAGCCCUGAUAAAUUACUAGCGCCUUAUACAACUGCCACUUACCAUGCCUUCCAUAUUACAGCUGUCUUAAUCAUUGAUGCUGUUUCCUCAGACUUGGAGCUGUAAUAUCUGAUUUUUGUUUCAGGGUAUAUUAUGAAGUUGCUGAUGGUACUGCCUUAGCCCUUGGCUAAAAAGAGUAGCAAAUAAUUUGUGGAUUAUCAGUAUGAGCAGCAGUCAAACAGCGUUCUUUUUAAAUCAAUAGGGAAGAAAGCCGCACCAGUUUGUCUGGGCUCCCUAAUACCAAAGGUCUUUCUCACAUUUAUUGAUCCUUUUGUAUUUUCCAACUU
Molecule: long non-coding RNA, 4919 nt
Organism: Harpia harpyja (harpy eagle)
Lineage: Eukaryota; Metazoa; Chordata; Aves; Accipitriformes; Accipitridae
Exons: 3
Source: RefSeq, a predicted model, not a curated record